This 253-nucleotide ribosomal RNA is filed under the name uncultured bacterium. RNAcentral's name for it is "partial 16S ribosomal RNA". It matches the Rfam family "Bacterial small subunit ribosomal RNA", at positions 524 to 776 of the family's 1533-position model. The record is from RNAcentral.
UACGGAGGGUGCAAGCGUUAUCCGGAUUCACUGGGUUUAAAGGGUGCGUAGGCGGGCAGGUAAGUCAGUGGUGAAAUCUUCGAGCUUAACUCGGAAACUGCCGUUGAUACUAUCUGUCUUGAAUACCGUGGAGAUGAGCGGAAUAUGUCAUGUAGCGGUGAAAUGCUUAGAUAUGACAUAGAACACCAAUUGCGAAGGCAGCUCGUUACACGAAUAUUGACUCUGAGGCACGAAAGCGUGGGGAUCAAACAGG